This 259-nucleotide ribosomal RNA is filed under the name uncultured bacterium. RNAcentral describes it as "partial 16S ribosomal RNA". It matches the Rfam family "Bacterial small subunit ribosomal RNA", at positions 97 to 354 of the family's 1533-position model. The record is from RNAcentral.
CCGGCACGGGUGAGUAACACGUAUGCAACCUGGCCGUCACAGGUGGAUAACCGGAAGAAUUCCGACUAAUACAGCAUAACACUCCUGAGGGACAUCCUUCGGGAGUCAAAGGAGGCAACUCCGGUGACGGAUGGGCAUGCGGCGCAUUAGGUAUUGGUAGGGUAACGGCCUACCAAGCCGACGAUGCGUAGGGGUUCUGAGAGGAAGGUCCCCCACAUUGGAACUGAGACACGGUCCAAACCCCUACGGAAGGCAGCAG